CAGCAGCCGCGGGAAUACGUAGGUCCCGAGCGUUGUCCGGAUUUAUUGGGCGUAAAGCGAGCGCAGGCGGUUAGAAAAGUCUGAAGUGAAAGGCAGUGGCUCAACCAUUGUAGGCCUUGGAAACUGUUUAACUUGAGUGCAGAAGGGGAGAGUGGAAUCCCACGUGUAGCGGUGAAAUGCGUAGAUAUAUGGAGGAACACCGGUGGCGAAAGCGGCUCUCUGGUCUGUAACUGACGCUGAGGCUCGAAAGCGUGGGGAGCGAACAGGAUUAGAUACCCGCGUAGUCCCUGUCUCUUAUACA
Molecule: ribosomal RNA, 301 nt
Filed under: uncultured bacterium
Lineage: Bacteria
Description: partial 16S ribosomal RNA
Rfam family: Bacterial small subunit ribosomal RNA
Source: RNAcentral